CCCCGUAAAGGCGCAAUUAAAGUAAAGGCGGCCUUGUGUUGCCUAGGCGGGAUCUUUUUCGUCGAGCGCACCGCCGGCCCGUCCAACGACCGCUUUGCCGGCCGGGCGGAGCUAGAGCAUACACGUUGGUACCCGAAAGAUGGUGAACUAUGCCUGGGCAGGACGAAGCCAGAGGAAACUCUGGUGGAAGUCCGCAGCGAUUCUGACGUGCAAAUCGAUCGUCGGACCUGGGUAUAGGGGCGAAAGACUAAUCGAACCAUCUAGUAGCUGGUUCCCUCCGAAGUUUCCCUCAGGAUAGCUGUCGCUCAUAUGCAGUCUCAUCCGGUAAAGCGAAUGAUUAGAGGCCUUGGGGUCGAAACGACCUCAACCUAUUCUCAAACUUUCAAUGGGUGAGAAGCCCGGUUUGCUCAAUUUGUGAAAUCCGGCACACCCGAGAAUGCGAGUGACCAGUGGGCCACUUUUGGUAAGCAGAACUGGCGCUGUGGGAUGAACCAAACGCCGGGUUAAGGCGCCCGAUGCGGACGCUUAUCAGAGCCC
This 537-nucleotide ribosomal RNA is filed under the name Megaphyllum sp. RNAcentral describes it as "eukaryotic LSU rRNA". It matches the Rfam family "Eukaryotic large subunit ribosomal RNA", at positions 704 to 1213 of the family's 3401-position model. Lineage: Eukaryota; Metazoa; Arthropoda; Diplopoda; Julida; Julidae. The record is from RNAcentral.